RNAcentral lists this ribosomal RNA (465 nucleotides) under uncultured bacterium. Its description in RNAcentral is "partial 16S ribosomal RNA". It matches the Rfam family "Bacterial small subunit ribosomal RNA", at positions 338 to 795 of the family's 1533-position model. The record is from RNAcentral.
CCUACGGGAGGCAGCAGUAGGGAAUAUUGCACAAUGGGCGAAAGCCUGAUGGAGCAACGCCGCGUGGGUGAAGAAGGCCCUCGGAUUGUAAAACUCUGUUGAUAGAGAAGAAAGAGCGUGAGAGUAACUGUUUACGUUUCGACGGUAUCUAACCAGAAAGCCACGGUUAACUACGUGCCAGCAGCCGCGGCAAUACGUAGGUGGCAUGCGUUAUCCGGUUUUAGUGGGAGUAAAGGGAGAGCAGGCGGUCUUUUAAGUCUGAUGUGAAAGCCUUGGGCUUAACCGGAGAAGUGCAUUGGAAACUGGCAGACUUGAGUGCAGUAGAGGUGAGUGGAACUCCGUGUGUAGCGGUGAAAUGCGUAGAUAUAAGGAAGAACACCAAUGGCGAAGGCGGCUCUCUGGUCUGUAACUGACGCUGAGGUUCGAAAGCGUGGGUAGCAAACAGGAUUAGAUACCCCUGUAGUC